This 408-nucleotide unclassified non-coding RNA is filed under the name Hevea brasiliensis (rubber tree). Lineage: Eukaryota; Viridiplantae; Streptophyta; Magnoliopsida; Malpighiales; Euphorbiaceae. The record is from RNAcentral.
CUCCUCAUCCAUUUCAAGCUUUUUAAGAACUCUCCUUGCCAAAAGAAGUCCAGUGCAGUAGGCAGCAGCAUAAUUAGUCAGUCCAACUUCUAGGCCAUAACGAGGCAGCUCGUUAGCAUAAGCAGAGGCAAGAAUCAUGUCACCAGCAAUACUAGCAGACACAAUUUGUGCAAUUAUGUCCUUGUUAGUAAAUCGGACAACCAAACGAUAUUUAGGAGUGUUGUACUUAUUUUUGUCCUGAUUGAUCAAGCGAUUCCUGGCUCUGUAAUCUGUUUUCCCCUCUCUCCUUCUCUUGAAUUUAACCUGGAAACGCUUAAAAUAAGCCCUUGUCUUCUGGACUUUGAUGAAGGCCAUUGUUUCUUCUCGAUUAACCUCCGCCGGCGGACGUGAGGGGGAAGUGGGGAGUGG